AAUAAAUUUCUUCCUUUGAGGAGGAAAGAAUCUCUCUACAUGAAGGAUCCAAAUCUCCCAUGUCUGGGGCAUUGAGGUUGAUAGGGGACGGAAUUGAUGUUCUAAUAACAUUUUCAAGAGUACUCUUGGAUUUCAUCAAGCUAAUCUUCUAUUCAACCAGAGUAACUUGAAUUUCUUAGUUCAACCAUGGGCUUGAUCCAUGGCUGAACUCACAAAUGGAACAUCAAAGUGGAUUAUCCAUAUAUACAUGCUAUGCCUUCUCAUUCUGCUGUCUUAUUGGAAGCCGAAGAUAGAACAUCUGUGUCUGAGGUUUCACUUUUGCUUCUUGCAAGUACAUAAAAGUCAUUGAAAUGCUCAUUGGUGUAGAGGGUCAGUUAAUACUUAAUAGAGUUCAUUUUUAUUGCAUCUUUCUCAUAGUCAAUUUCCACCUUGAAUUUGAAAUUGAGUCCAAAUUUUACAGUAUAGUAUUCUUAUUAGAAUGUUACCUGAUUUUAGACCCAUUUUUCUUAUGUUCAGUUGAUAAGAUGAUUAUAUCUACCAUGAGGUAGUUAACAUUUGAAGGUUUAGGUUACUUGUAGCAGAGUGCUUUGGAUAAGCUAGGAGAAGAACAUGCACGAAUGAUGAAAUGCAUCAUCAUGAUGAUUUUGAGGAGGUUCAAGCUCCAAGAGAAUGCUAAAAUUGAUCUUUCCUACUGUGACUGCACCCAUUAAAGUGGUUAACAAAGCUGAUGUUGUGAAGAAUGCUGCUCUUUUUAAUGUACUAGUGAUGCCAAAACUUUAUGGUGACCUUAUUAGUGACCUUUGUGCUGGCUUGGUUGGGGGUUUGGGCUUGACACCAAGGUAAUUUUUGCACUUUGGUAAACAAAUUCUAGAAGCUACAAUCUUAUCACCUGGCAUCAUUGGUGAGGCCGUGAGGGAGGUAUUGCUUUAGCUGAGGUUGUACAUGGUUUAGCACCUGAUAUUGCUGGAAAGAAUUUGGCAUAUCCAACUGCUUGACUGCUGAGCGGUGUUUCAGUGUUGCGCCAUUUGAGUCUCCAUGACAAAGCGGACCAAAUUCACAAUGCCAUCCUCAACACAAUUACAGAAGGGAAGUACCGAACUGCUGAUCUUGGAGGCAAAGCAAAGACAACCGAAUUCGCGAAUGAAAUUAUUGAUCAUCUCUUGAGUAGGCAAGGAAUUGCUGCACAUUACGGCGCUCUUAGAAUACUGUAAAACUCUGUUCAUCCCAAUAAUGAUGUGUGAUACACACUGCAACCAAAUAUUAAGACAAGAAAAGGCCUUCUCACACCAUGCGAGAUACUUCCAAAAAGAAAAAGACACACAAAUGCUUCUCGUAUCAUGUGAUAAACCCAUGGUCAUAUUCUGGUGUUUCACCUCCCAGUCCUGUUUUGGGUCCUCUGGGAAGUUUUAAAAAUAACUUUUUUGAGUUUUGACUUGUGAAAAUGAGUAGUAUUAAUGUUUGAUAUAAUUUUCAAAACUAAAUUGCAGUUUUCUAAAAAGUUAUUAUAGAGAGGUUAAAAAAAUUACUUUUCCUAUAAUACUACUAUUUUUUAUCACAUUUCUUUUAAAAUAAGCACUUUU
Long non-coding RNA from Arachis stenosperma, 1580 nucleotides. RefSeq lists it as uncharacterized. Lineage: Eukaryota; Viridiplantae; Streptophyta; Magnoliopsida; Fabales; Fabaceae. The record is from RefSeq and is a predicted model, not a curated record. The transcript has 4 exons.